Molecule: ribosomal RNA, 507 nt
Filed under: uncultured bacterium
Lineage: Bacteria
Description: partial 16S ribosomal RNA
Rfam family: Bacterial small subunit ribosomal RNA
Source: RNAcentral
ACGAACGCUGGCGGCGUGCCUAAUACCUGCAAGUCGCACGCUUCUUUCCUCCCGAGUGCUUGCACUCAAUUGGAAAGAGGAGUGGCGGACGGGUGAGUAACACGUGGGUAACCUACCCAUCAGAGGGGGAUAACACUUGGAAACAGGUGCUAAUACCGCAUAACAGUUUAUGCCGCAUGGCAUAAGAGUGAAAGGCGCUUUCGGGUGUCGUUGAUGGAUGGACCCGCGGUGCAUUAGCUAGUUGGUGAGGUAACGGCUCACCAAGGCCACGAUGCAUAGCCGACCUGAGAGGGUGAUCGGCCACACUGGGACUGAGACACGGCCCAGACUCCUACGGGAGGCAGCAGUAGGGAAUCUUCGGCAAUGGACGAAAGUCUGACCGAGCAACGCCGCGUGAGUGAAGAAGGUUUUCGGAUCGUAAAACUCUGUUGUUAGAGAAGAACAAGGACGUUAGUAACUGAACGUCCCCUGACGGUAUCUAACCAGAAAGCCACGGCUAACUACGUG